AACGAACGCUGGCGGCAGGCUUAACACAUGCAAGUCGAACGCCCCGCCAGGGGAGUGGCGGACGGGUGAGUAACGCGUGGGAACAUACCCUUUUCUACGGAAUAGCCCUGGGAAACUGGAAUUAAUACCGUAUACGCCCUACGGGGGAAAGAUGUAUCGGGGAAGGAUUGGCCCGCGUUGGAUUAGCGAGUUGGUGGGGUAAAGGCCUACCAAGGCGACGAUCCAUAGCUGGUCUGAGAGGAUGAUCAGCCACAUUGGGACUGAGACACGGCCCAAACUCCUACGGGAGGCAGCAGUGGGGAAUAUUGGACGAUGGGCGCAAGCCUGAUCCAGCCAUGCCGCGUGAGUGAUGAAGGCCUUAGGGUUGUAAAGCUCUUUCACCGAUGAAGAUAAUGACGGUAGUCGGAGAAGAAGCCCCGGCUAACUUCGUG
Molecule: ribosomal RNA, 431 nt
Filed under: uncultured bacterium
Lineage: Bacteria
Description: partial 16S ribosomal RNA
Rfam family: Bacterial small subunit ribosomal RNA
Source: RNAcentral